RNAcentral lists this ribosomal RNA (775 nucleotides) under uncultured Neocallimastigales. Its description in RNAcentral is "partial large subunit ribosomal RNA". It matches the Rfam family "Eukaryotic large subunit ribosomal RNA", at positions 23 to 644 of the family's 3401-position model. The record is from RNAcentral. Lineage: Eukaryota; Fungi; Neocallimastigomycota; Neocallimastigomycetes; Neocallimastigales.
ACACGCAUGACACACUGCAUAUCAAUAAGCGGAGGAAAAGAAACUAACAAGGAUUCCCUUAGUAACGGCGAGUGAAGCGGGAAGAGCUCAAAUUUGAAAUCUUCAAGGUUCUACCUUGACGAAUUGUAGUUUAUAGAUGUGUUUUCUGUUAGUAGAGUGGCAAAAGUUCUUUGGAAUAGGACAUCAUAGAGGGUGAGAAUCCCGUAUUUGGUCAUUCUUUCUAGCUUUGUGAUACACUUUCAACGAGUCGGAUUGUUUGGGAAUGCAGUCCAAAAUGGGUGGUAAAUUUCAUCUAAAGCUAAAUAUUGGCGAGAGACCGAUAGCGAACAAGUACCGUGAGGGAAAGAUGAAAAGGACUUUGAAAAGAGAGUUAAACAGUACGUGAAAUUGUCAAAAGGGAAGCGUUUGACACCAGUGUUGUUUUUCCGAAAAUCAAUUACGAAUGUUUUAUUUUUGAGAAGUUAUGACUUCAUCGGCUUGCUCCUCUCUUUAUGAAACUUUCUUAAUGCACUUUACGGUUAACAAGUCAACAUCAAUUUCUUUUGUUGUAAAAGGGUAUGAGGAAGGUGGCUUUCUUUUCGGAGAAAGUGUUUAUAGCCUUGUACCUCUGCAAUCGGAGAGAUUGAGGUCUGCAGCGUAGAUCCUUCGGGGUUAGAUACAUUUGUGCUAAGUUAUAGCUUUUCAUAGACAACUUGUUGACUAUGUUUAGUCUUGUAGCUUACUCGCUUACUGCUAUUUUACCUACGCUUAGGAUGUUGACUGAUAUGUAGUCGUA